Molecule: ribosomal RNA, 449 nt
Filed under: uncultured bacterium
Lineage: Bacteria
Description: partial 16S ribosomal RNA
Rfam family: Bacterial small subunit ribosomal RNA
Source: RNAcentral
AGCGAACGCUGGCGGCAGGCCUAACACAUGCAAGUCGAACGGAUCCUUCGGGAUUAGUGGCGGACGGGUGAGUAACACGUGGGAACGUGCCCUUUGGUUCGGAACAACUCAGGGAAACUUGAGCUAAUACCGGAUGUGCCCUUCGGGGGAAAGACUUAUCGCCAUUGGAGCGGCCCGCGUCUGAUUAGCUAGUUGGUGAGGUAAAGGCUCACCAAGGCGACGAUCAGUAGCUGGUCUGAGAGGAUGAUCAGCCACAUUGGGACUGAGACACGGCACAAACUCCUACGGGAGGCAGCAGUGGGGAAUCUUGCGCAAUGAGCGAAAGCCUGACGCAGCCAUGCCGCGUGAAUGAUGAAGGUCUUAGGAUUGUAAAAUUCUUUCACCGGGGACGAUAAUGACGGUACCCGGAGAAGAAGCCCCGGCUAACUUCGUGCCAGCCGCCGCAGUAA